CUUGGGGAGUACGCCGCACGGUGAAACUCAACGGAAUUGACGGGGACCGCACAGCGACGACAUGUGGUUUAAUUCGAUGAUACGCGAGGAACUUACCCUGCGCUUGAACUGCAGCAGAACGAUUCAGACAUGAUGAGGCCCUCCGGGGCUGCUGUGGAGGUGCUGCAUGGUGUCGUCAGCUCGUGCCGUGAGGUGUCGGCUUAAGUGCCAUAACGAGCGCAACCCCUUCUUCCAGUUGCCAUCGGGUGAUGCCGGGCACUCUGGAGGGACUGCCGCCGUAAGGUGUGAGGAAGGCGGGGAUGACGUCAAAUCAGCACGGCCCUUACGUCCGGGGCUACACACGUGUUACAAUGGGGGGUACAGCGGGAUGCCACCGGGCGACCGGGUGCCGAUCCUGAAACCCUCCCGUAGUUCGGAUUGGGGUCUGCAACCCGACCCCAUGAAGCUGGAUUCGCUAGUAAUCGCGCAUCAGCCAUGGCGCGGUGAAUACGUUCCCGGGCCUUGUACACACCGCCCGUCAAGCCAUGAAAGCCGGGGGCGCCUGAAGUCCGUGACCGCGAGGGUCGGCCUAGGGUGAAACCGGUGAUGGGGCUAAGUCGUAACAAGGUAACCUAAUCUAGAUGCAC
RNAcentral lists this ribosomal RNA (626 nucleotides) under uncultured rumen bacterium. RNAcentral's name for it is "bacterial SSU rRNA". It matches the Rfam family "Bacterial small subunit ribosomal RNA", at positions 872 to 1533 of the family's 1533-position model. The record is from RNAcentral.